GAAAAAACAGUUGACAUUACAUUAAAAAUAUAUAUAAGAAUAAAAGUAUAAGAAAGAUAAAAAAGAAUAAAAGAAAAUUUAUAAGAAUAAGAAAUUAUAUUUAUAGUAAAAUCCGACACGUUCAUUAAAAAAAAUUCUUUUGUAGCUAAUCAUUUAGCGGGAAAAAUUAAAAAACCAUGUCAUAUAUUUUAUAGUUUGAGUAAGAAAUUGUAACGCAUAAAAGUUCGAGGAGUCAAAUUUCAUGUAUC
This 248-nucleotide long non-coding RNA is filed under the name Ananas comosus (pineapple). RNAcentral's name for it is "long non-coding RNA (ACOM_LNC013159)". The record is from RNAcentral. Lineage: Eukaryota; Viridiplantae; Streptophyta; Magnoliopsida; Poales; Bromeliaceae.